This 84-nucleotide ribosomal RNA is filed under the name Photobacterium ganghwense. The record is from RNAcentral. Lineage: Bacteria; Pseudomonadati; Pseudomonadota; Gammaproteobacteria; Vibrionales; Vibrionaceae.
CCUGGCGACCAUAGCGCUGUGGACCCACCUGAUCCCAUGCCGAACUCAGACGUGAAACGCAGCAGCGCCGAUGGUAGUGUGGGG